This 433-nucleotide ribosomal RNA is filed under the name uncultured bacterium. Its description in RNAcentral is "partial 16S ribosomal RNA". It matches the Rfam family "Bacterial small subunit ribosomal RNA", at positions 29 to 507 of the family's 1533-position model. The record is from RNAcentral.
AACGAACGCUGGCGGCAUGCCUAACACAUGCCAGUCGAACGAUGCCUUCGGGCAUAGUGGCGCACGGGUGCGUAACGCGUGGGAAUCUGCCUUUCGGUUCGGAAUAACUCAGGGAAACUUGAGCUAAUACCGGAUAACGUCGCAAGACCAAAGAUUUAUCACCGAAAGAUGAGCCCGCGUAGGAUUAGCUAGUUGGUGAGGUAAAGGCUCACCAAGGCGACGAUCCUUAGCUGGUCUGAGAGGAUGAUCAGCCACACUGGGACUGAGACACGGCCCAGACUCCUACGGGAGGCAGCAGUGGGGAAUAUUGGACAAUGGGCGAAAGCCUGAUCCAGCAAUGCCGCGUGAGUGAUGUAGGCCUUAGGGUUGUAAAGCUCUUUUACCCGGGAAGAUAAUGACGGUACCGGGAGAAUAAGCCCCGGCUAACUCCGUG